AAACAUGUCUUUUUGAGUUAUAUUUAAAGUCUAACCUGCCCACUGAGUAAUUUUAAAUGGCCGCAGUAUUUUGACUGUGCAAAGGUAGCAUAAUCAUUAGUCUUUUAAUUGAAGGCUGGAAUGAACGGUUGGACGAAGUAUAAGCUGUUUCAUAUAGAUUUACUAUAGAAUUUUAUAUUUUAGUUAAAAAGCUAAAAUUUUAUUAAAAGACGAGAAGACCCUAUAAAUCUUUAUAUUUUACGUUAUUUAAAUUUUUUAGAUUAAUUUUAUUUUUAUAAUAUAAAGUAUUUUGUUGGGGUGAUAUUAAAAUUUAAUGAACUUUUAAUUAUUUAAAAUCAUUAAUUUAUGAGUUAUUGAUCCAUUAAUAUUGAUUAUAAGAUUAAGUUACUUUAGGGAUAACAGCGUAAUUUUUUUUGAGAGUUCAUAUCGACAAAAAAGUUUGCGACCUCGAUGUUGGAUUAAGGUAUAAUUUUGGGUGUAGCUGUUCAAAUAUUAAGUCUGUUCGACUUUUGAAUCCUUACAUGAUC
RNAcentral lists this ribosomal RNA (527 nucleotides) under Anastrepha nolazcoae. RNAcentral's name for it is "partial small subunit ribosomal RNA". It matches the Rfam family "Bacterial large subunit ribosomal RNA", at positions 1811 to 2605 of the family's 2925-position model. The record is from RNAcentral. Lineage: Eukaryota; Metazoa; Arthropoda; Insecta; Diptera; Tephritidae.